AUAUUCCACAAUGAGCGAAAGCUUGAUGGAGCGACACAGCGUGCACGAUGAAGGUCUUCGGAUUGUAAAGUGCUGUUAUAGGGAAAGAACACCUGGUUGAGGAAAUGCUUCCAGGCUGACGGUACCCUGUCAGAAAGCGAUGGCUAACUAUGUGCCAGCAGCCGCGGUAAUACAUAGGUCGCAAGCGUUAUCCGGAAUUAUUGGGCGUAAAGCGUUCGUAGGCUGUUUAUUAAGUCUGGAGUCAAAUCCCAGGGCUCAACCCUGGCUCGCUUUGGAUACUGGUAAACUAGAGUUAGAUAGAGGUAAGCGGAAUUCCAUGUGAAGCGGUGAAAUGCGUAGAUAUAUGGAAGAACACCAAAGGCGAAGGCAGCUUACUGGGUCUAUACUGACGCUGAGGGACGAAAGCGUGGGGAGCAAACAGGAUUAGAUACCCUGGUAGUCCACGCCGUAAACGAUGAUCAUUAGUCGGUGGAGAGUUCACUGACGCAGCUAACGCAUUAAAUGAUCCGCCUGAGUAGUAUGCUCGCAAGAGUGAAACUUAAAGGAAUUGACGGGGACCCGCACAAGCGGUGGAGCAUGUGGUUUAAUUUGAAGAUACGCGGAGAACCUUACCCACUCUUGACAUCCUUCG
RNAcentral lists this ribosomal RNA (631 nucleotides) under Mycoplasmopsis arginini. RNAcentral's name for it is "bacterial SSU rRNA". It matches the Rfam family "Bacterial small subunit ribosomal RNA", at positions 361 to 993 of the family's 1533-position model. The record is from RNAcentral. Lineage: Bacteria; Bacillati; Mycoplasmatota; Mycoplasmoidales; Metamycoplasmataceae.